GUCAAAUCACGCUGAAAACACCGGUUCUCGUUCGAUCACCGGAGUUAAACGGCGUCGAUCCCAGUCAGUAUUUAGAUGGGGGACUCUUUGGGAAC
Acanthosepion pharaonis is the source of this 95-nucleotide non-coding RNA. NCBI's taxonomy places the organism in Eukaryota, Metazoa, Mollusca, Cephalopoda, Sepiida, Sepiidae. The record is from the annotation of a GenBank genome assembly.